This 635-nucleotide ribosomal RNA is filed under the name Carabus przewalskii elnarae. RNAcentral's name for it is "eukaryotic LSU rRNA". It matches the Rfam family "Eukaryotic large subunit ribosomal RNA", at positions 672 to 1266 of the family's 3401-position model. Lineage: Eukaryota; Metazoa; Arthropoda; Insecta; Coleoptera; Carabidae. The record is from RNAcentral.
AGUCUAGCAUGUGCGCGAGUCAUUGGGACUCAAUAAACCUAAAGGCGAAAUGAAAGUGAAAGUCUGUUUACGCGGACUUAGGGAAGAUAGGUGCGUACAUAUGUACAACCUCGCACUCCCGGGGCGUCUCGCACUCAGUGCGAGGUGGGGCGCACCAAGAGCGUACACGCUGGGACCCGAAAGAUGGUGAACUAUGCCUGGUCAGGACGAAGUCAGGGGAAACCCUGAUGGAGGUCCGUAGCGAUUCUGACGUGCAAAUCGAUCGUCGGAACUGGGCUUAGGGGCGAAAGACUAAUCGAACCAUCUAGUAGCUGGUUCCCACCGAAGUUUCCCUCAGGAUAGCUGGCACUAGAUUAUGGAUGAGUCUCAUCCGGUAAAGCGAAUGAUUAGAGGCAUUGGGGUCGAAACGGCCUCAACCUAUUCUCAAACUUUAAAUGGGUGAGAUCUCCGGCUUGCUUGAUUUGUGAAGCCGGAGAUCGGAUCAAUUAGUGCCAAGUGGGCCACUUUUGGUAAGCAGAACUGGCGCUGUGGGAUGAACCAAACGCAGUGUUAAAGCGCCAAAAUCGACGCUUAUGGGAUACCAUGAAAGGCGUUGGUAACUUAAGACAGCAGGACGGUGGCCAUGGAAGUCGGAA